UACGUAGGUGGCAAGCGUUGUCCGGAUUUACUGGGCGUAAAGAGCGCGCAGGCGGUCGUUCAAGUCGCGUGUGAAAGCCCCCGGCUCAACUGGGGAGGGUCACGCGAUACUGAUCGACUCGAAGGCAGGAGAGGGUAGUGGAAUUCCCGGUGUAGUGGUGAAAUGCGUAGAUAUCGGGAAGAACACCAGUGGCGAAAGCGCUCUACUGGGCCAUACUGACACUGAGGGACGAAAGCUAGGGGAGCGAAAGGG
This 252-nucleotide ribosomal RNA is filed under the name uncultured bacterium. Its description in RNAcentral is "partial 16S ribosomal RNA". It matches the Rfam family "Bacterial small subunit ribosomal RNA", at positions 524 to 776 of the family's 1533-position model. The record is from RNAcentral.